CCUUUGAGAAGGCAAGCUUGAGUAGAAGCAGUAGUGGAGCAGGAAGCCUGAAAAGUGAGCUUUCAGAAAGCACAGACCUGCCACCUGAGGGCUUCCAGGCCCCCUGUGAUAAGGACGAAGACCGAGCCUGUGCUGGAAUCUUGUCAGAUGAUAACUUCAACUUGGAAAAUAUUGAGAAAGAUAUAUAUUCAGAGUUUGAUGAUGAAUUGGACACUUUGGAUAACUCAAGCAGCUCCAGUUCAAGCCCUUUGAAGGAAUCUACAUUCAUCACUUUAAAGAGAAGUUUUAGUGCUUCAGGAGGAGAAAGACAAUCCCAAAAAAG
This is a long non-coding RNA of Aethalodelphis obliquidens (Pacific white-sided dolphin), 322 nucleotides long. RefSeq lists it as uncharacterized. NCBI's taxonomy places the organism in Eukaryota, Metazoa, Chordata, Mammalia, Artiodactyla, Delphinidae. The transcript is spliced from 3 exons. The record is from RefSeq and is a predicted model, not a curated record.